RNAcentral lists this ribosomal RNA (253 nucleotides) under uncultured bacterium. RNAcentral's name for it is "partial 16S ribosomal RNA". It matches the Rfam family "Bacterial small subunit ribosomal RNA", at positions 524 to 776 of the family's 1533-position model. The record is from RNAcentral.
UACGAGGGGGGCAAGCGUUGUCCGGAAUUAUUGGGCGUAAAGCGCGCGCAGGCGGUUCUUUAAGUCUGAUGUGAAAGCCCACGGCUCAACCGUGGAGGGUCAUUGGAAACUGGAGAACUUGAGUACAGAAGAGGAAAGUGGAAUUCCACGUGUAGCGGUGAAAUGCGUAGAGAUGUGGAGGAACACCAGUGGCGAAGGCGACUUUCUGGUCUGUAACUGACGCUGAGGCGCGAAAGCGUGGGGAGCAAACAGG